RNAcentral lists this long non-coding RNA (3578 nucleotides) under Triticum aestivum (bread wheat). RNAcentral describes it as "long non-coding RNA (TAES_LNC021579)". Lineage: Eukaryota; Viridiplantae; Streptophyta; Magnoliopsida; Poales; Poaceae. The record is from RNAcentral.
GCCGGCAACGCCCGACGAGGGGAUAAGAGCUGCGCUGGACCUCCCCGCUCGCCAAAAUAUCUACCACUCCCCCCGCUUGCUCUCUUCUCCCCUCCCUGGUCCUCUCCGCCUCACCCCUCCCCCUCGCCAGAUCCAUCCCCGCCGAGCGCCGCCAUGGGCUCGCUCCGGUGAAGCUCGCGACCACCGGCCACUUCUCCCUCACCGUUGCGUCCACGACGACCGCCAUCGCCCGCUGCGUCCACUACGGAGACGAAGACCUGCCGGAACCCCCACCUUCGCCGGAUUCGCGUCGCCCUCGUCCGCUUCGGUCAUCGACCAUCUCCGUCAACUCCAACCGCCCCGCAGCUACUAAUCCGUCACCGGGCCCCCAUGCGCCCACACGGUGAGCUCCUGCGCCCCGCUCCCCUUUUCCUUCAUUGCCGUAGGCCGCGUCCCGCCUCCCCUAUCCGGAGCUGCACCGUCGCGCCCGAGCAUGCGCUUGGCCCGGCUCUGGCCGUCCUUGGUCGCUCCCACGCGCAACUGGCCCCUCCCCGCGCCCCCAUGCAUGCUUCUGCUGCCGCCCCUGUUGAACUGUUGCUGCGCGCCCGCCUCGCCGCUGCGUUGGCCGCUGCCGACUGCCGCCCGGCCUCGCAGCCACCGUCUGCUGCGUCGUCCGCCGUGACCCCCGCCAUGCCCGCGCGCCUCCGUGUCUGCCCGCCUGCGCGUGGCCUCGCCCCCGUGCGUGCUCCCGCGCGCCCCCUGGUCGCCCUGCCCCUGCGUGCCUGAGCUCCGGCCCUGCACAACGCGCGCCCGCGCCCAGUCGCGUUGUCCCGCUGCCUACUACCUUUACUGCUGAUGCCGCUGAAACUCUGCUAUUGUUACUUGCUUCCUACUGCUGCUUCUUGUUACUACUACGGAUGCAUAGCUGCUGCCGUCGCUGCUAUUCCUUAACUUCUGCCGCUGCGUUCGCUGCUCUGCUACCGCUGCUACAGUAACUGAAUGUUACUGUAGCGCUGGCUAGCUUUUGCUAUUUCCAUCUUCUUAGCUCUCUGGAUGGCAACAAAACUAUGGUCAAACCAAGUCUAACUUCGUUGAAAUUAAUUUGUGUUGGGAGUACACAUAGCAACCUCCAAAUUAUUCCAUUGGACCAAAUUCAAAUAUGGCAUGGAUUAAAUUCUAUAAAAAUCGCAAAAUGCUUUGUUGGAACAAAAGUAACCCCUAGCUAUGUGUGUUGCGUGUGUGUACGCAGCCACGGCUGGCUAUGCCACCGGCCGGCCCAUGGUUUAAUUAGGCUAGGAUUAAUUAGGGCUAGUUUAGGUAGGAUGUAAUUUAGUGCUAAUUAGUCUAUAUAAACAAUGCCAUGUGGCCCCCUAGUUUAAAUUAAUUUAGCCUAAGUAAUCUACACCUAUGUCCAUGACAUGUGGGCCACCACCUCUCCUUUUGACUAGUCACAUUGACUUGGUCAAUUCGGAUUUAAAUUAAACACAAAAUUCUAGAAUAUUGAUAAAACUUUGAAAAAUUAUAAAAAAUUAACCGUAACUCCGAUGGAAAAACUUUGUACAUGAAAGUUGCUCAGAACGACGAGACGAAUCCAGAUACGCGGCCCGUUCGUCCGCCAUGCAUCCCUAGCAUAGGGAACCUGCAACAUUUCACCUCCGGUUCAUUUGUCCGGAAUCGUGAAACACCGGGAAUACUUUCCCGGAUAUUUCCCCUCUUCGCCGGUAUCGCCUAUCCCUACGUUAGGUCACCCCAAGCACAACGUAUUGCCACGUCUUGCUUUGUGUUACAUUUGAUUGCUCUGUUAUUUAUUGUGUUCCCCCUCCGUUACUCCUUUCCGGUAGACUACGAGACCGACGCUGCUGCUGACCAGUUCGGCUACGGAGUUGACGACCCCUCUCUCUUGCCAGAGCAACCAGGCAAGCCCCCCCCCUUGAUCACCAGAUAUCGCCUAUUCUCCUCUAUACUGCUUGCAUUAGAGUAGUGUAGCAUGUUACUGCUUUCGUUAAUCCUAUUCUGAUGCAUAGCCUGACAUUGUCGCUACAUCUGUUGAUACCUUACCUGCAAUCCUAAAUGCUUAGUAUAGGAUGCUAGUUUAUCAUCAUUGGCCCUACAUUCUUGUCAGUCUGCCUUGCUAUACUAUCGGGCCGUGAUCACUUGGGAGGUGAUCACGGGUAUAUACUAUACAUACAUACAUACUAUACAGAUGGUGACUAAAGUCGGGUCAGCUCAUUGAGUACCCGCAAGUGCUUCUGACGAGGGGGCUGAAAGGACAGGUGGCUCCAUCCCGGUAGAGGUGGGCCUGGGUUCCCGACGGCCCUCGACUGUUACUUUGUGGCGGAGCGACAGGGCAGGUUGAGACCACCUAGGAGACAGGUGGGCCUGGCCCUGUUCGGCGUUCGCGGAUACUUAACACGCUUAACGAGAUCUUGGUAUUUGAUCUGAGUCGGCUACGAGCCUAUACGCACUAACCAUCUACGUGGGAGUAGUUAUGGGUAUCCCGACGUCGUGGUAUCAGCCGAAGCACUUCAGACGUCAGCGACGGAGCGGCGCGCGCCGGAUUGGAACGUAAGCCUGCUCUUGUAUUAAGGGGGCUAGUUCCGCUUUCGGCCGCGUACGCAACGUGCAGGUGUGCUAUGGGCGAUGGGCCCAGACCCCUGUGCGCUUAGGUUUAGACCGGCGUGCUGGCCUCUCUGUUUUGCCUAGGUGGGGCUGCGACGUGUUGAUCUUCCGCGGCCGGGCAUGACCCAGGAAAGUGUGUCCGGCCAAAUGGGAUCAAGCGUGUUGGGUUAUGUGGUGCACCCCUGCAGGGAAGUUAAUCUAUUCGAAUAGCCGUGAUCUUCGGUAACAAGACGACUUGGAGUUGUACCUUGACCUUAUGACAACUAGAACCGGAUACCUAAUAAAACACACCCUUCCAAGUGCCAGAUACAACCGGUGGUCGCUCUCCCUCAGGGAUACGGGGGGAGGAUCGCCGGGCAGGAUAUGCUAUGCGAUGCUACUUGGAGGACUUCGACCUACCCUCUUCUGCCUGUUGCAAGACGAAGGUGACCAGAAGUGUAGUCUUCGAUAGGACUAGCUAUCCCCCUCUUAUUCUGGCAUUCUGCAGUUCAGUCCACUGAUAUGGCCUUCUUACACAUAUACCCAUGCAUAUGUAGUAUAGUUCCUUGUUUGCGAGUACUUUGGAUGAGUACUCACGGUUGCUUUCUCCCCCCUUUUUUUUCCCCCUUUCCUUUCUUCCUGGUUGUCGCAACCAGAUGCUGGAGCCCUGGAGCCAGACGCCACCGUCGACGACGACUACUACACUGGAGGUGCCUACUACUACGUGCAGCCCGUUGACGACGACCAGGAGUAGUUAGGAGGAUCCCAGGCAGGAGGCCUGCGCCUCUUUCGAUCUGUAUCCCAGUUUGUGCUAGCCUUCUUAAGGCAAACUUGUUUAACUUAUGUCUGUACUCAGAUAUUGUUGCUUCCGCUGACUCGUCUAUGAUCGAGCACUUGUAUUCGAGCCCUCGAGGCCCCUGGCUUGUAUUAUGAUGCUUGUAUGACUUAUUUUAUUUGUAGAGUUGUGUUGUGAUAUCUUCCCGUGAGUCCCUGAUCUUGAU